GACGGAGGAUGCAAGUGUUAUCCGGAAUCCCUGGGCGUAAAGCGUCUGUAGGUGGUUUAAAAAGUCUACUGUUAAAAAUUGAAGCUUAACUUCAAAGAUGCCGUAGAAACUUUUAAACUUGAGGAUGGUAGGGGUAGAGGGAAUUUCCAGUGGAGCGGUGAAAUGCGUAGAUCUUGGAAAGACCACCAAUGGCGAAGGCACUCUACUGGGCCAUGACUGACACUAAGAGACGAAAGCUAGGGGAGCAAAUGGG
This 253-nucleotide ribosomal RNA is filed under the name uncultured bacterium. Its description in RNAcentral is "partial 16S ribosomal RNA". It matches the Rfam family "Bacterial small subunit ribosomal RNA", at positions 524 to 776 of the family's 1533-position model. The record is from RNAcentral.